RNAcentral lists this long non-coding RNA (1668 nucleotides) under Podarcis lilfordi (Lilford's wall lizard). The record is from RNAcentral. Lineage: Eukaryota; Metazoa; Chordata; Lepidosauria; Squamata; Lacertidae.
GGGUGACCAAAAGCGAAGGAGAACUGAGCUACUGUGCCUUAAAUACAGUAAAGGGGAUUUACUGCAUGCAACAUUUCUGACUUUUACAACGAAUGGGGAGCCUUUGGUAUUCCAGAUGUUAUUGAACGACAGCUCCUAUCAACACUGACCAUUGGCCAUGCUAAGUGGGAAUGGUGGGAGAUUAUUGUUGUUGUUGUUGUCCAAAAAUGUCUGGAGAGUCACAGAUUUCUCAUCUUGUAAUCAUGGCAAAUGGCAGCUUCUGAAUUUCCUCUUCUGCAUAAUUAUUAGAGUCACAAGACCCCAUCCUUCUUUGUUUCUGGCCACCCCACAUUUAAACCUUGCUAAAUGUAUUAUAAAUGUACUGUAAUAACAUAUUUCCUUCAUAUGUUUUCAGGGCCUCAAGGGCUUUCAAGCUACUUAAUGUGAAUCCACUAAUUAAAACAAGUUCUUAACCGGGGUUUUAUUCAAAAUAUUUUUCAAAAAAAUGUAUUGUCUCAUGAAAAUAUGAUCACUUCCCACUUUAUUAUCUCUCCUUUUACUAUGCUGGAGUUGUUUUAAAGCAUUUUCCCCCCUCAGCCCUCACAAUUUGUUUUUCUCCCUUUUGCUCAGUUUUCUUCUUGUUUUAACAGUGAUUCCAACAGAGGAUGGUGAUUUCCAGCCAAUCACUGCUGUGCGAUUGUUCAGUUUUAAUAAGUGUGAUCAAUACCAUCAGCUUUCGCCUUUAAAUGCUAAUGAAUGCUUUAAGAGAGCAGAUGUGGACACACAGUAGAGUGUAGAUUAAAAUUAGGCACAGAAUUAAAUUGCUUACAAACAGCAAAGGAAUCCAUUUGGACAUUCUUAAUAACCAACUGCAGCAAGCUGGUGAAGCCUCAGGACCGCUGCUAAAAAAACCCCAAACCAAGCAAACCCAACCCUCACACAUUCAAUAUCAAAAUAUGCAAAACAUUCAUAAUUAUACAUGUUUUGAUGCAAAUUUAUAUGGAACCCCUAGGAACCUAUUUUUCAUGGCACCUGUUAACUUGGCUUGGCAGGUUCCAAGGUGAGAAAGGCCUGAGCGGAACAGCAGCGAACCCAGCAGAAUUAAGUGUAUUAGCCUGGCCUCUUCUAAUGGGGUGACAAAGGACAUGGACACCUCUGAUAUACAGCUGUUCCUUCCACCAGCCCUGCCCCAGCAAGUCCAGAGAGGACAACCCUGCUUUCAAGAAUGUUUUAACAGUGGGAAAUGCAUUUCCAGUCGCGACAGUAGGCAGAUUUGUCUGUAGCGCUUCAGAAUACAUAAACGGCAUAAAUAAUCUGAAAAAUUUGAAGCGAAAGAGCUGAGCUAGAACGUUUUGGGUCAACGUCCCCCGCACUAGGCCUUACAAUUUUUUAUUUUAAAUGUGGGGGGAAACAUUCAAAACUUGUAUCCCCUUAGGUAGUUUGAAAUGGCAUAGUUUAGCUGUUUGUAAGGUGGAUAAAAGUGGCUAGCUGGAAGAAUGGUCUAACGACAAGUGAAGGAUGCCAAGUGGACUCUAAAUAAGAAAUGAUGCGGCUAUGUGAGGAAAUGAGGAUGACCGUAUGCUUGGAACCGGAGCAGGAAACCUGAUUUUAAGAAAUUGUAUUAAAUUAAAUUAAUUUUGUUUGAUUUGUAAUAAUUUGGAAAAAUAAUAAAAAUAACUUGAAAUGGCA